UCGAUGAAGAACGCAGCGAAAUGCGAUAAGUAAUGUGAAUUGCAGAUUUCAGUGAAUCAUCGAAUCUUUGAACGCACAUUGCGCCCCGUGGUAUUCCGCGGGGCAUGCCUGUUCGAGCGUCAUUUCAACCCAUCAUGCUUCGGCAUGGUCUUGGGGCCUGCGGUUUCGCAGCCUCUAAACGCAGUGGCGGUGCUAUUGAGCUCUGAGCGUAGUAAUUCUUCUCGCUAUAGGGUCUCGGUGGUGACUUGCCAACCAACCCCCAUUUUUAUCAGGUUGACCUCGGAUCAGGUAGGGAUACCCGCUGAACUUAA
RNAcentral lists this ribosomal RNA (311 nucleotides) under uncultured Varicosporium. RNAcentral describes it as "eukaryotic LSU rRNA". The stretch from base 1 to 122 matches the Rfam family "5.8S ribosomal RNA", at positions 33 to 154 of the family's 154-position model. The record is from RNAcentral. Lineage: Eukaryota; Fungi; Ascomycota; Leotiomycetes; Helotiales.